RNAcentral lists this ribosomal RNA (448 nucleotides) under uncultured bacterium. RNAcentral describes it as "bacterial SSU rRNA". It matches the Rfam family "Bacterial small subunit ribosomal RNA", at positions 9 to 497 of the family's 1533-position model. The record is from RNAcentral.
GAGUUUGAUCCUGGCUCAGGAUGAACGCUGGCGGUAUGCCUUACACAUGCAAGUCGUACGAGAGUUUUUAACUCUAGUGGCGGACGGGUGAGUAACACGUAAGAAUUUGCCUUUAGGAGGGGGAUAACAGCUGGAAACGGCUGCUAAUACCCCAUAUGCUUUCGAGUGAAAUGGAUUUAUCCGCCUAAAGAGGAGCUUGCGGCUGAUUAGCUUGUUGGUGGGGUAAUGGCCCACCAAGGCGACGAUCAGUAUCUGGUUUGAGAGGACGAUCAGACACACUGGAACUGAGACACGGUCCAGACUCCUACGGGAGGCAGCAGUGGGGAAUUUUCCGCAAUGGGCGAAAGCCUGACGGAGCAAUACCGCGUGAGGGAUGACGGCCUAUGGGUUGUAAACCUCUUUUUUCAGGGAGGAAUCAAUGACGUGUACCUGAAGAAUAAGCAUCGGC